RNAcentral lists this transfer RNA (73 nucleotides) under Camelus bactrianus (Bactrian camel). It matches the Rfam family "tRNA". Rfam says of the family: Transfer RNA (tRNA) molecules are approximately 80 nucleotides in length. Their secondary structure includes four short double-helical elements and three loops (D, anti-codon, and T loops). RNAcentral also lists the same sequence under 2 other names. Lineage: Eukaryota; Metazoa; Chordata; Mammalia; Artiodactyla; Camelidae. The record is from Rfam by way of RNAcentral.
GAAGGUAUAGCUCAAGUGGCAGAGCACAUGCUUAGCAUGUACAAGGUCAUGGGUUCAAUUCCCAGUACUGCCU